GCAACUCGCCUGUAUGAAGUCGGAAUUGCUAGUAAUCGUGGAUCAGCAUGCCACGGUGAAUACGUUCCCGGGCCUUGUACACACCGCCCGUCACACCAUGAGAGCCGGGAACACCCGAAGUCCGUAGUCUAACCUAUAUGGAGGACGCGGCCGAAGGUGGGUUUGGUAAUUGGGGUGAAGUCGUAACAAGGUAUC
Molecule: ribosomal RNA, 195 nt
Filed under: uncultured bacterium
Lineage: Bacteria
Description: partial 16S ribosomal RNA
Rfam family: Bacterial small subunit ribosomal RNA
Source: RNAcentral